RNAcentral lists this ribosomal RNA (1426 nucleotides) under uncultured bacterium. RNAcentral's name for it is "bacterial SSU rRNA". It matches the Rfam family "Bacterial small subunit ribosomal RNA". The record is from RNAcentral.
AGUCGAACGAGAAAGGGAUCCUUCGGGAGCCUGAGUAAAGUGGCGAACGGGUGAGUAACACGUGGGUGACCUGCCCUCUGGAGGGGGAUAACCCGAGGAAACUCGGGCUAAGACCGCAUAAGCCUUCGAGGUCAAACUCAAAGGGAAAAGGAUUUAGCUUUCGAGCUAGAUCCUACCGGAGGAGGGGCCCGCGUCCCAUAGCUUGUUGGUGGGGUAAAAGCCUACCAAGGCUACGAUGGGUAGCCGGUCUGAGAGGACGGACGGCCACACUGGAACUAAGACACGGUCCAGACUCCUACGGGAGGCAGCAGUGGGGAAUUUUGGGCAAUGGGCGAAAGCCUGACCCAGCAACGCCGCGUGGAGGAUGAAGGCCCUCGGGUCGUAAACUCCUGUCCUAGGGGAAGAAAAAAAUGACGGUACCCUUGGAGGAAGCCCCGGCUAACUCCGUGCCAGCAGCGCGGUAAGACGGGGGGGGCGAGCGUUGUUCGGAAUUACUGGGCGUAAAGGGCGCGCAGGCGGCCUGGGAAGUCUUGGGUGAAAGCCCCCAGCUCAACUGGGGAAUGGCCUGAGAAACCACUAGGCUGGAGUGCUGGAGAGGGAAGCGGAAUUCCCGGUGGAGCGGUGAAAUGCGUAGAUAUCGGGAGGAACACCAGAGGCGAAGGCGGCUUCCUGGACAGACACUGACGCUGAGGCGCGAAAGCUAGGGGAGCAAACGGAUUAGAUACCCCGGUAGUCCUAGCUGUAAACGACGGGUACUAGAUGUGGGAGGUAAUAGAAAGUCCUUCCGUGUCGGCGAUAACUCAAUAAGUACCCCGCCUGGGGAGUACGGCCGCAAGGCUGAAACUCAAAGGAAUUGACGGGGGCCCGCACAAGCGGUGGAGCAUGUGGUUUAAUUCGACGCAACGCGCAGAACCUUACCAGCCCUUGACAUGGGAGUCGCGGACGCCAGAGAUGGCAUCCUUCGGUUCGGCCGACUCCACACAGGUGCUGCAUGGCUGUCGUCAGCUCGUGUCGUGAGAUGUUGGGUUAAGUCCCGCAACGAGCGCAACCCUCAUCCUAUGUUGUUUUUUCAUGGGAGACUGCCGCCUCCAAGGCGGAGGAAGGUGAGGACGACGUCAGAUCUGCGUGUCCCUUAUGCCUGGGGCAACACCCGUGCUACAAUGGCCGGUACAAAGGGUAGCCAACCCGCGAGGGGGAGCCAAUCCCACAAAACCGGUCUCAGUUCGGAUUAAGUCUGCAACUCGACUUCAUGAAGUUGGAAUCGCUAGUAACCGUGAAUCAGCUACGUCACGGUGAAUAUGUUCCUGGGUCUUGUACUCACCGCCCGUCAAGUCAUGAAAGGCAGGGGCACCUGAAGCACCGUUACCCUUCGGGGGCGGUACCACGGUGAAACUGCUGAUUGGGACUAAGUCGUAACAAGGUAACC